Molecule: ribosomal RNA, 274 nt
Filed under: uncultured bacterium
Lineage: Bacteria
Description: partial 16S ribosomal RNA
Rfam family: Bacterial small subunit ribosomal RNA
Source: RNAcentral
AUACGGAGGGUGCAAGCGUUGUCCGGAUUCACUGGGUGUAAAGGGUGUGUAGGCGGGACUGUAAGUCAGAGGUGAAAGCCCACGGCUCAACCGUGGAAUUGCCUUUGAUACUGCAGUUCUUGAGUCUCGGAGGGGUCAUUGGAAUUCGUGGUGUAGCGGUGAAAUGCGUAGAUAUCACGAGGAACAUCAGAGGCGUAGGCGGAUGACUGGACGAGUACUGACGCUGAGGCACGAAAGCGUGGGGAGCAAACAGGAUUAGAUACCCCAGUAGUCC